Molecule: RNA transcript, 1858 nt
Organism: Brassica napus (rape)
Lineage: Eukaryota; Viridiplantae; Streptophyta; Magnoliopsida; Brassicales; Brassicaceae
Gene name: ATP synthase subunit beta, chloroplastic-like
Exons: 1
Source: RefSeq, a predicted model, not a curated record
AUGCCUAAUAUUUACAAUGCUCUGGUGGUUAAGGGUCGAGGAUACGCUUGGUCAAGAAAUUAAGUGACUUGUGAAUUGUGAAGUAAGCCAUUAUUAGGAAAACAACCGAGUUAGAGCUUGUAGCUAUGAGCGCGACACCGAGGCCGAGGGUUUUUAAAGAGAGGGAUGGACGUGGUUUGAUAUGGGAAAUCCUCUAAGUGUUCCAGUCGGCGGAGCGGAAGCGUCUCUAGGACGAAUUUUCAAUGUACUUGGGGAACCUGUUGAAAUUUAGGUCCUGUCGAUACUCUCACAACAUCCUAUCCAUUAAAUCCGCGCUUGCUUUUAUAGACUUAGAUACCACCUUUCUAUUUUUUGAAACAGGAAUUAAUUAAAGUAGUAGAUCUUUUGGCCCCUUAUCGUCGUGGGGGGAAAAUGGACUAUUCGGUUGGGGCUGGCGUGGGGUUUAAAACAGUUACUAAUUAUGGAAUUGAUCAACAACAUUGGCAAAAGCUCAUGGGGUGUAUCCGUAUUUGGUUGGAGUAGGCGAACGAAACUCGUGAAGGAAACUGAUCUUUACAUGGAAAUGAAAGAAUAUGGAGUCAUUAAUGAACUAAACUUGCGGACUCCAAACGUAGCCCUAGUCUACGGUCAGAUGAAUGAACCGCCGGGAGCUCGUAUGAGAGUUGGUCUGACUGCCUUAAACUAUGGCAGAAUAUUUCCGAGAUGUUAAUGAGCAAGACGUCUUCUAUUUAUCGACAAUAUCUUCCGUUUGUACAAGGCAGGAUCCGAGGUAUCCGCUUUAUUGGGUUUAGAAUGCCUUCUGCUGUGGGUUACCAACCCACCCUUAGUCUUGUACCGAAAUGGGUUCUUUACAAGAAAGAAUUAAUUCUACGAAAAAAAGGGUCCAUAACCUCUUUCAAGCAGUUAUGUACCUGCAGACGAUUGGACUGACCCUGCUCCUGCCACCACAUUUGCACAUUUAGAUGCGACUACCGUACUAUCAAGAGGAUAGCUGCUAAAGGUAUCUAUCCAGCGGUAGAUCCUUUAGAUUCAACGUCAACUAUGCUACAACCUCGAAUCGUUGGCGAGGAACAUUAUGAAACUGCGCAACAAGUAAAGCAAACUUUACAACGUUACAAGGAGCUUCAGGACAUUAUAGCUAUCCUGGGGUUGGACGAAUUAUCCGAAGAGGAUCGCUUAACCGUCGCAAGAGCACGAAAGAUUGAGCGUUUCUUAUCACAACCUUUUUUCGUAGCAGAAGUAUUUACAGGUUCUCCGGGAAAAUAUGUUGGGCUAGCGGAAACAAUUAGAGGGUUUAAUUUGAUCCUUUCCGGAGAAUUUGAUUCUCUUCCUGAACAGGCCUUUUACUUAGUGGGUAACAUCGAUGAAGCUACUGCGAAGGCUACGAACUUAGAAAUGGAGAGUAAAUUGAAGAAAUGACCUUAAAUCUUUGUGUACUGACUCCGAAUCGAAUUGUUUGGGAUUCAGAAGUAAAAGAAAUCAUUUUAUCUACUAAUAGUGGACAAAUUGGCGUAUUACCAAAUCACGCGCCGAUUGCCACAGCUGUUGAUAUAGGUAUUUUGAAAAUACGCCUUAAUAACCAAUGGUUAACAAUGGCUCUGAUGGGCGGUUUUGCUAGAAUAGGCAAUAAUGAAAUUACUAUUUUAGUAAAUGAUGCAGAGAAGAAUAGUGACAUUGAUCCACAAGAAGCUCAGCAAACUCUUGAAAUAGCAGAGGCGAACUUGAGAAAAGCUGAAGGCAAGAGACAAACAAUUGAGGCUAAUCUAGCUCUCAGACGAGCUCGGACACGCGUCGAGGCUCUCAAUACGAUUUGAUUUUGUAACUAGCUGACGUAUAAAAAAAUAGGAUCCAAAAGCGA